Molecule: transfer RNA, 73 nt
Filed under: Planctomycetaceae bacterium
Lineage: Bacteria; Pseudomonadati; Planctomycetota; Planctomycetia; Planctomycetales; Planctomycetaceae
Also listed under: 2 other names
Description: tRNA-Ala
Rfam family: tRNA
About the family: Transfer RNA (tRNA) molecules are approximately 80 nucleotides in length.
Source: RNAcentral
GGGGGAUUAGCUCAGUUGGGAGAGCGACAGGCUGGCAGUCUGUAGGUCACCGGUUCGAACCCGGUAUCCUCCA